CGGGUGAGUAACACGUGGAUAACCUACCUAUAAGACUGGGAUAACUUCGGGAAACCGGAGCUAAUACCGGAUAAUAUUUUGAACCGCAUGGUUCAAAAGUGAAAGACGGUCUUGCUGUCACUUAUAGAUGGAUCCGCGCUGCAUUAGCUAGUUGGUAAGGUAACGGCUUACCAAGGCAACGAUGCAUAGCCGACCUUAGAGGGUGAUCGGCCACACUGGAACUGAGACACGGUCCAG
RNAcentral lists this ribosomal RNA (237 nucleotides) under uncultured Staphylococcus sp. Its description in RNAcentral is "partial 16S ribosomal RNA". It matches the Rfam family "Bacterial small subunit ribosomal RNA", at positions 103 to 334 of the family's 1533-position model. The record is from RNAcentral. Lineage: Bacteria; Bacillati; Bacillota; Bacilli; Caryophanales; Staphylococcaceae.